GGGGCUGACAGGAAUCGACAGUAAACGUCUUAUGUCAGUAAGCAUGCCGGGGCACGAUGGUUCACCUCGUUACUAAAUGGUCAUCAACCAAUAAUUGGCGAAACACGUUUCGCAUUGGCUGCCUAGUUCUAGGAAUUAGAGCGCCUUUAUGCUAAGGGUUUAAUAUCUGCCAUAACCCAUCUAGCAUUCAUCCAUGCAGGUUAAGCCAAAGGGAAGUCCCGACCAGAGGCCGACAAUCAAAGGGAAUCGGAUAUCACCGCGUCGUUGCAGUACCUGGUGAUGUCUUAAAACCGAUCUGCAACUAAGCAUGUAGAAGGCUGAUGUAACUUUUAGCUGGACGGGGGUUCAAUUCCCCCCAGCUCCACCA
This 367-nucleotide transfer-messenger RNA is filed under the name Bacteroidota bacterium. It matches the Rfam family "transfer-messenger RNA". From Rfam's summary of the family: Bacterial tmRNA, also known as 10Sa RNA or SsrA, is named for its dual tRNA and mRNA-like properties. Its role is to liberate the mRNA from a stalled ribosome. Lineage: Bacteria; Pseudomonadati; Bacteroidota. The record is from RNAcentral.